CUAGGCGCCUUGAAUUACGCUCGGGCCAUUAAUCUCGCGAGAUUAGCCCAGUGAGCGCGUGGAUUUUGUCGUGUGCACGGAGGGUCACUUAGCAGCGAGAAGAUGGCGGACGUAAUCGAUAACGGGAAUGAGAUGAAACUGCCUGUGGGGAUAGACGAAGUAAAUCGUCUAAUCCAAGAAAACAGCCACCUUUUCUCUGAUGGCCACUGUAAAGUAUGCAGUGCUGUUUUGAUUUCUGAGUCACAGAAGCUAGCACAUUAUCAGAGCAGGAAACAUGCUGUUAAAUAUCACCGGUACUUGUCCAUUCACCAGGGAGAAGGUGUAACACCAGCAAAAAGGAGAGCUGAUGGCGCUUUGGAUAUCGAGGAUGAUGAUAAUGAUGAAACAGAUAGGAACAAAUGCUGCCCAGUCUGCAACAUGACCUUUUCAUCUCCUGUGGUUGCUGCUUCUCACUACCAAGGGAAAACUCAUGCAAAAAAUCUGAAGAUGAAGGUACAAGGAGGAGUUAAGGAAGGUGUACCUCUUCCCAAGAAGCCACGUUUAACACCACCUGCCCCUGCUCCUGAAAAAAACACAGGGACAGUUGAUCGGUCGGACCCUGAAAAAUUUUGCCAGCUCUGCAAUGCCACAUUUAACAAUCCUCAUAUGGCACAACAGCAUUACGCGGGCAAAAAACACAAGAAACAGGAGACCAAGAGCAAGCUUAUGACUAUAUAUAGCAGCUCUGGGAAUGCUUUGCCGCAAACUACACCUCUCAAACCUCUAACGCCAGGCUCUGCUUCAAGUGAGUCCAAUGCUGAGCCUGAAUCUGAAAAACCUGCUGUCUAAUUUGUAAGGGAAUGUUGUAGUUUCAUUUUUAGUGGGGAGAUAUUUCCAUUCCCCUGACUUUUAUUUCUAAGCCUUUUUUGUUCCUAGCAGUUAUUGUAUCUCUGCAUUUAAUGUAUGCAUGACCUGCUUGUGUAAAAUGCUAUAUCUUUAGGGAUGUAUAUAUUUUAAAAGGUAGGCUGAUAGUUUAAUGCCACAAACACAUAGCAAAGUAGAUUAGGACUAGUGCUGUUUUUUGUUAUCUGUAAACUGGUCUGUUUGGCUACUGCCAU
Molecule: RNA transcript, 1097 nt
Organism: Nanorana parkeri
Lineage: Eukaryota; Metazoa; Chordata; Amphibia; Anura; Dicroglossidae
Gene: ZNF346
Gene name: zinc finger protein 346
Exons: 6
Source: RefSeq, a predicted model, not a curated record